Molecule: long non-coding RNA, 1048 nt
Filed under: Homo sapiens (human)
Lineage: Eukaryota; Metazoa; Chordata; Mammalia; Primates; Hominidae
Source: RNAcentral
CUCCUUCGCCCCGCCCCGUCCGCGCAGCUCGUCCGGCCCGCCCGCAGGCCAGCUUCUCUCGGGAGCCUCCACCCAGGCGCAUGGCUCCAUGAAGCAAGAGGAGGAGGCAGAGCGCGAGAGAUCCCGUCCGCCCCAGCCGCGUCUGGGCCAGGAGAAAAGCAAAACCAUAUUCCUGCUGCUGUCAGUUUUGAUGCACUGAGAAAACUUCAGAGACCUAAGCUUUUUCCAGAGAAGAGAAGCUUUACUGGUGUUCCAGCCCUAAGAAACUUAAAUCCUCAGUGUGACACAACUCAGUCCUUCUACUGCAGCAGCUCUUUUAUAAAAGCCUCCCAAAGCUCCAAGAAGGAACAAAGAAUGUGACCCAGUAAGCUCACACCAUAAGUCUAUAUUGCAGAAACCUUUGUUCAACAAAACUGCAGAUGCUCUGUUGAAUCCACUGGAGAUUGUCCUGAUACUAAGGACAAGUAUGCUCAUAUGACAUUAACAGACAAGACACUUUUCAGAAAGACAGGCAACGUGUUGGACCUUCCGGAGCUUCUCAGAAGACAGAGGGUUUUCUUUUGAGGUAAAUUUGAUAGUACAUUUUGAUAGUACAGGAGGCGAUACGGCAUGGUGACAGAAAAGCGCCGGCUUGGUUAGCGGGACCACCUGGCAGGGCUGCAGGCUGUGCCACUUACCAGGCAGGGGACCUUGGGCCAGCUGCUUGGCCUCACUCACCCUGUUUCCUCAGCUGCAAUUGGGAUGAACAGACUGCCUGCUUCGGGGUUGCCUAAAACUCACAUUGCUUAAUGAUGUGAAAUGCUUAGCGCAGUGCCUGGCAUAGAGAGAAUUCUCAUUAGAUGAUACCUCAGCUGGGCUUUAGGAGCUACAGAAGAAGCUGCAUCUCCAUGAGCUCAGCGUGUUUCUAGCUUUCCUUUUUGUUUUCUAUUCAACCUUUCACCCAACUCAGCUUCUCAAUCCCUAAAUGACAAAGGUUUGGGAAGGAAGACUUGGACCGAUGCUUGCAUUUGUUUCUGAGAAUUAAACGUUAUGUUUUCUUCAAUCCAAA